GCGCCCUUAGCUCAGCUGGACAGAGCGUCUGACUACGGAUCAGAAGGUCGGGAGUUCGAAUCUUCCAGGGCGCACCA
Molecule: transfer RNA, 77 nt
Filed under: Melghirimyces thermohalophilus
Lineage: Bacteria; Bacillati; Bacillota; Bacilli; Caryophanales; Thermoactinomycetaceae
Description: tRNA_Arg_ACG
Rfam family: tRNA
About the family: Transfer RNA (tRNA) molecules are approximately 80 nucleotides in length. Their secondary structure includes four short double-helical elements and three loops (D, anti-codon, and T loops). Further hydrogen bonds mediate the characteristic L-shaped molecular structure. tRNAs have two regions of fundamental functional importance: the anti-codon, which is responsible for specific mRNA codon recognition, and the 3' end, to which the tRNAs corresponding amino acid is attached (by aminoacyl-tRNA synthetases). tRNAs cope with the degeneracy of the genetic code in two manners: having more than one tRNA (with a specific anti-codon) for a particular amino acid; and 'wobble' base-pairing, i.e. permitting non-standard base-pairing at the 3rd anti-codon position.
Source: RNAcentral